GACAGAGGGGGCAAGCGUUGCUCGGAAUUACUGGGCGUAAAGGGCGCGUAGGCGGGAUGGCAAGUCGGUCGUGAAAUCCCUCGGCUCAACUGAGGAUCGUCGAUCGAUACUGCCGUUCUUGAGGAUUGCAGAGGAGACUGGAAUUCCCGGCGUAGCGGUGAAAUGUGUAGAGAUCGGGAGGAACACCGGUGGCGAAGGCGGGUCUCUGGGCAAUUCCUGACGCUGAGGCGCGAAAGCGUGGGGAGCAAACGGG
RNAcentral lists this ribosomal RNA (253 nucleotides) under uncultured bacterium. Its description in RNAcentral is "partial 16S ribosomal RNA". It matches the Rfam family "Bacterial small subunit ribosomal RNA", at positions 524 to 776 of the family's 1533-position model. The record is from RNAcentral.